This 99-nucleotide transfer RNA is filed under the name Ktedonobacter sp. SOSP1-85. RNAcentral's name for it is "tRNA-Met". Lineage: Bacteria; Bacillati; Chloroflexota; Ktedonobacteria; Ktedonobacterales; Ktedonobacteraceae. The record is from RNAcentral.
UGUUUCUCCUGCAAGGGAGCACAAUUGCAAACGCCUCAUAGGCGUUUGUUCGAGUAGGCGCAUGAGAGUAAGCAAAUGUGCAGAAACAUCUUGAUACAG